CCGGCGCACCCCGACGCCGGGCCGGUAAUGCGGCAAGCCAGUUGCAAGCCUGGCGGCGGACGCAGAGCAACGG
RNAcentral lists this non-coding RNA (73 nucleotides) under unclassified sequences. The record is from RNAcentral.